UGCGUAGGCGGCGCGGUAAGUCGGGUGUGAAAUCUCGGAGCUUAACUCCGAAACUGCAUUCGAUACUGCCGUGCUUGAGGACUGGAGAGGAGACUGGAAUUUACGGUGUAGCGGUGAAAUGCGUAGAUAUCGUAAGGAAGACCAGUGGCGAAGGCGGGUCUCUGGACAGUUCCUGACGCUGAGGCACGAAGGUCAGGGGGACAAACG
RNAcentral lists this ribosomal RNA (207 nucleotides) under uncultured bacterium. RNAcentral describes it as "partial 16S ribosomal RNA". It matches the Rfam family "Bacterial small subunit ribosomal RNA", at positions 568 to 774 of the family's 1533-position model. The record is from RNAcentral.